This 617-nucleotide long non-coding RNA is filed under the name Equus asinus (donkey). RNAcentral describes it as "lncRNA (ENSEASG00005034587.1)". The record is from RNAcentral. Lineage: Eukaryota; Metazoa; Chordata; Mammalia; Perissodactyla; Equidae.
GGAAAGGAUGCUAUGCCUCAGAUCCGGACAAACAGCACUCCCACCCGCUGUAGAAACUAUUAGGACUUCCCUGACUGAUUGUGGUGUGGAUGUUAUCACAGGAUAAACCAAGUAAUGCACUGCUGAUGCUACACCUCAUACUGUCUCACUCUGCCUAUGAGUUCGUCUGCAGCUGCAGUGGGCAGCUCUGUCCAUCAGGCUUACAUCAGCUGAAGUACCACGAAAUCCCAGAUGAAGAUGAAAGGAAGUAGAGGCAUGGAAAGGCUGACGUAUUUGAGGCUGAAGUUCUCCUGCGAAUGUUGAUGGUGUGACAGAGUCAGUCGGGACUUGGACCUUGCCAGCACUGCUGCACUUCCGCCUGCAAAAAGCAAAUGUUCUGGUCCCUCAAUGAUGCAGUCUUGGCCUUUCCUGUUCCUUCUGGGUGUCGUGGUCCCCAUGUGGACUCGGAUGGAGAAGUAGUGCUUUUCAGGGCCUCAGAAGCAAGGAGGUGGUCACCAUCCUGAGCACAUUUCCUAAGAGAGGCAGCAUGUCAAGAUUUCUAACAGGUGUUGUGUUGACCUAAUUCUUCUAAGGACAAUAAGGAAAAGAUAGUAAAGGAAGCAGUAUGGAAAGUCUAG